CGCCUGGGGAGUGCGGCCGCAAGGUUAAGACUCAAAUGAAUUGACGGGGGCCCGCACAAGCGGUGGAGCAUGUGGUUUAAUUCGACGCAACGCGAAGAACCUUACCUGGCCUUGACAUGCAGAGAACUUUCCAGAGAUGGAUUGGUGCCUUCGGGAACUCUGACACAGGUGCUGCAUAGCCGUCGUCAGCUCGUGUCGUGAGAUGUUGGGUUAAGUCCCGUAACGAGCGCAACCCCUAUCCCUAGUUGCUAGCAGUUCGGCUGAGAACUCUAGGGAGACUGCCGGUGACAAACCGGAGGAAGGUGGGGAUGACGUCAGGUCAUCAUGGCCCUUACGGCCAGGGCUACACUCGUGCUACAAUGGUGCGCACAGAGGGCUGCAAACCCGCGAGGGGGAGCCAAUCUCACAAAACGCAUCGUAGUCCGGAUCGCAGUCUGCAACUCGACUGCGUGAAGUCGGAAUCGCUAGUAAUCGUGAAUCAGAAUGUCACGGUGAAUACGUUCCCGGGCCUUGUACACACCGCCCGUCACACCAUGGGAGUGGAUUGCACCAGAAGUGGUUAGUCUAACCUUCGGGAGGACGAUCGCCACGGUGUGGUUCAUGACUGGGGUGAAGUCGUAACAAGGUAACCGUA
RNAcentral lists this ribosomal RNA (634 nucleotides) under uncultured Marinobacter sp. RNAcentral's name for it is "bacterial SSU rRNA". It matches the Rfam family "Bacterial small subunit ribosomal RNA", at positions 870 to 1504 of the family's 1533-position model. Lineage: Bacteria; Pseudomonadati; Pseudomonadota; Gammaproteobacteria; Pseudomonadales; Marinobacteraceae. The record is from RNAcentral.